UAAGUAAGAGAGCCCUCUUCUCCUGGUUUAACUAAGUUUAAAACACAAGACUAGAAGUACAACGCUCCAAACGCUAGCGUACAUACCAGCCCUGACGCACCCAGGCCGCUGGUUAACGAACGUAGAGAACGACAUACCACUACUACUGGCCGAGGACAAUUUAGGUUAUGCUGACGUGAAGAAGCGAAGUCCUUCUUCCAUAGGGGGAAUACGCUUCUAAAGAUCGAACGGAUACACAACAUUACAAUUAUUCACGUAAGCCGGUUUGUUAAACACCUGGUUUACUUGAACAACGCCUAUAUCUUCUUGUUCCGCCGUGUGUUCCUCGACGGACUUAACGUCACCGUCGCCACAACAUUAUACUUAGUUCGAACACUUCUUGUUAAAGCAAUGAAAUUACUGUGUGUGAACGUCA
This 415-nucleotide ribosomal RNA is filed under the name Triticum aestivum (bread wheat). RNAcentral describes it as "partial small subunit ribosomal RNA". Lineage: Eukaryota; Viridiplantae; Streptophyta; Magnoliopsida; Poales; Poaceae. The record is from RNAcentral.